GUCCUCAGUCAUACCAGACUGAGAGCACCUGAUUUUAGAAGCUAAACUGUCCUGGAUCAGCGCAGUACUUUGACAUUCACUCUAGAUAAACUGAAGGACA
Molecule: ribosomal RNA, 100 nt
Organism: Calidris pygmaea (Spoon-billed sandpiper)
Lineage: Eukaryota; Metazoa; Chordata; Aves; Charadriiformes; Scolopacidae
Source: Ensembl